CUCAGGACGAACGCUGGCGGCGUGCUUAACACAUGCAAGUCGAACGGAAAGGCCCUGCUUGCAGGGUACUCGAGUGGCGAACGGGUGAGUAACACGUGGGUGAUCUGCCCUGCACUUCGGGAUAAGCUUGGGAAACUGGGUCUAAUACCGGAUAGGAACCAUCUUUAGUGUGGUGGUUGGAAAGUUUUUUCGGUGUAGGAUGAGCUCGCGGCCUAUCAGCUUGUUGGUGGGGUAAUGGCCUACCAAGGCGGCGACGGGUAGCCGGCCUGAGAGGGUGUACGGCCACAUUGGGACUGAGAUACGGCCCAGACUCCUACGGGAGGCAGCAGUGGGGAAUAUUGCACAAUGGGCGCAAGCCUGAUGCAGCGACGCCGCGUGGGGGAUGAAGGCCUUCGGGUUGUAAACUCCUUUCGCUAGGGACGAAGCUUUUUGUGACGGUACCUAGAUAAGAAGCACCGGCUAACUACGUGCCAGCAGCCGCGGUAAUACGUAGGGUGCGAGCGUUGUCCGGAAUUACUGGGCGUAAAGGGCUCGUAGGUGGUUUGUCGCGUCGUCUGUGAAAUUCUGGGGCUUAACUCUGGGCGUGCAGGCGAUACGGGCAUAACUUGAGUGCUGUAGGGGUAACUGGAAUUCCUGGUGUAGCGGUGAAAUGCGCAGAUAUCAGGAGGAACACCGAUGGCGAAGGCAGGUUACUGGGCAGUUACUGACGCUGAGGAGCGAA
Molecule: ribosomal RNA, 721 nt
Filed under: uncultured Actinomycetales bacterium
Lineage: Bacteria; Bacillati; Actinomycetota; Actinomycetes; Actinomycetales
Description: bacterial SSU rRNA
Rfam family: Bacterial small subunit ribosomal RNA
Source: RNAcentral